UAGGGAAUCUUCCGCAAUGGACGCAAGUCUGACGGAGCAACGCCGCGUGAGUGAAGAAGGAUUUCGGUUCGUAAAACUCUGUUGUUAUAGAAGAACAGCGCAUAGAGUAACUGUUAUGCGUGUGACGGUAUCUAACCAGAAAGCCACGGCUAACUACGUGCCAGCAGCCGCGGUAAUACGUAGGUGGCAAGCGUUGUCCGGAUUUAUUGGGCGUAAAGCGAGCGCAGGCGGUCAAUUAAGUCUGAUGUGAAAGCCCCCGGCUCAACCGGGGAGGGGCAUUGGAAACGGGUUGACUGGAGUGCAGAAGAGGAGAGUGGAAUUCCAGGUGUAGCGGUGAAAUGCGUAGAUAUAUGGAGGAACACCAGUGGCGAAGGCGACUCUCUGGUCUGUAACUGACGCUGAGGUUCGAAAGCGUGGGUAGCAAACAGG
Molecule: ribosomal RNA, 429 nt
Filed under: Bacteroidota bacterium
Lineage: Bacteria; Pseudomonadati; Bacteroidota
Description: Bacteroidetes bacterium partial 16S ribosomal RNA
Rfam family: Bacterial small subunit ribosomal RNA
Source: RNAcentral